GCUGAAUGUGGGGAUAAUUUAUCUCUGUGUUGAAGCUAACGCGUUAAGCACUCCGCCUGGGGACUACGGUCGCAAGACUAAAACUCAAAGGAAUUGACGGGGACCCGCACAAGCGGUGGAGCAUGUGGUUUAAUUCGAUGCAACGCGAAAAACCUUACCACUCCUUGACAUGGAGAUUAGAUCCUUCUUAACGGAAGGGCGCAGUUCGGCUGGGUCUCGCACAGGUGCUGCAUGGCUGUCGUCAGCUCGUGUCGUGAGAUGUUGGGUUAAGUCCCGCAACGAGCGUAACCCUCAUCCUUAGUUGCCAGCGGAUAAUGCCGGGUACUUUAAGGAAACUGCCGGUGGUAAACCGGAGGAAGGUGGGGAUGAUGUCAAGUCAGCACGGCCCUUAUGGGGUGGGCUACACACGUGCUACAAUGGUGACUACAAUAGGUUGCAACGCCGCAAGGCUGAGCCAAUCCAUAAAAGUCAUCUCAGUUCGGAUUGUCCUCUGUAACUCGAGGGCAUGAAGUCGGAAUCGCUAGUAAUCGUGGAUCAGCAUGCCACGGUGAAUACGUUCUCGGGUCUUGUACACACUGCCCGUCACGCCAUGAGAAUUGGCUUAACUCGAAGCUGGUGCGCUAACCGAAAGGAAGCAGCCAU
RNAcentral lists this ribosomal RNA (642 nucleotides) under Anaplasma phagocytophilum. Its description in RNAcentral is "bacterial SSU rRNA". It matches the Rfam family "Bacterial small subunit ribosomal RNA", at positions 815 to 1456 of the family's 1533-position model. Lineage: Bacteria; Pseudomonadati; Pseudomonadota; Alphaproteobacteria; Rickettsiales; Anaplasmataceae. The record is from RNAcentral.